UAUUCAAAGAACAUGGUGGGUGAGAGUUCUGUGGGGGAAUUCACAUUGAAAUCUACUUAGAAGAAGAUCUUCACACAAUCUUGGAUCCAUGGACAAAAGACAUUCCUAUCCUGAACCCAUGGGGAUGACAGCGAGGAAGCUGAAGGCCCAUCAGCUACUUUCCUUUCUCUCUACAGCAGUUACUGCUUCUUUCUCACUCCAGUUUAUUCGCUGUCUCUUGUCAAGGCGGCUGCUCCAGGAGAGACUCAGAGAACCACAUGCAAAUUGAUUCUUUGUAAAUUCUCUUCAUUUAAAUUCCACUUUUUAACUUUCUCUUUCAAUUGUCCCUUAAUUUCAAAAGUCUCGUCUGGUUGACAACAGCAGUUCCCCAUUCUAUUUUAAUAAAGCAAGUUCUUCUUCGCAGAGAAAGAGCAAGCAAUUUCUUUUUUACAAAAUGCAGAAAACAUCAGUCAUCUCUAAUUAAUUUGGUGUUUAAUGUAAUAGCAAAGAAUUAUUCAUCUUUUCUCAUUUACUAGAAACUGUGAGAAGUCUGUUAUUUGUCUGUUCAAAUCCAAAUUUCUAUUUAAAUCUCAUUCUCAUUCACCACCUGCUGUAUACCUGCAGCAGAAACAAGACAGACUCCAGACAAUGCUUUUAGAUAUGCUUUAAUCACGACCAGGAGGACCUCAGUAUAACAGUAUAUAACAGUUAUAUUGCAUAUGUGCAUGACAAAGAUGACAUGAUUCAUUACAUCAUUUUUGUUUAAUAUCAUUGGUUCUUCCUAUGUUUGCUUGUUACUCAAGUUAUGAGUUGUUAUGGUUAUUCUUAUA
Long non-coding RNA from Cyprinus carpio (common carp), 809 nucleotides. RefSeq lists it as uncharacterized. The record is from RefSeq and is a predicted model, not a curated record. Lineage: Eukaryota; Metazoa; Chordata; Actinopteri; Cypriniformes; Cyprinidae. The transcript has 3 exons.